GUGCGAAAGCAGGUCUUAGUGAUCCGGCGGUAGAGAGUGGAAUUGCCGUCGCUCAACGGAUAAAAGGUACUCCGGGGAUAACAGGCUUAUCCUUCCCAAGAGUCCACAUCGACGGAAGGGUUUGGCACCUCAAAUCUGGGGUGAGCCGGCAGAAAUGUCGGCUUAGCAUCGGCUAAUAACGGUGGAGCCCAACGCCUGGGUGCCAUCUGGAUGGCACCGUAAGAUGGGUAAUACCGUGGGAAGUCUGUCGGAAGUGCAGCGUGAAAUCAUCGUCGGCUCUUUGCUUGGCGAUGGUUCGAUGCGCUGCAAGACCAACGCGCUUCUCGAGAUCAACCAUUCGUUCCGCCAGGCUGGCUACGUUGACUGGAAGUUCAGACAUCUGGCCGACCUGGUUCGAACUCCGCCGAAAGUCCGCGCAAGUAACGGCAAGCGUCUCGCGUAUCGCUUCGUUACGCGAAGCUUGCCGGAGCUCACGCCAUACUUUCGGAUGUUCUACGCCACUGGCAAAAAACGAGUGCCUGAGCUGGAGCUCACACCACUUGUAUUGGCUGUGUGGUUCAUGGACGACGGUUGUCGAUCGAGAAGCUCGGUGUAUCUGAACACGCAGCAAUUCGACCUUGAGAGUCAGGCGACGUUGCUUCGUUCUCUUCACGAACAGUGGGGGAUCGAUGCGACGCUCAAUCGGGACAAGCUCUACCACCGAAUACGAAUUUCGGUGCCGAGCACCCGGAAACUCGCCGAGAUCAUUGGUUCGUACUUGCUGCCCGAGCUCAGAUACAAGCUUCCGCAAGUGACCCCGUAACGACUGCGGCCGUGAGGCCGCGGCGGCGUCGGACCGCUCAUCACGAGCGAAACUAACCGCGCCGCAACACGCCGACCCCUCGCCUUUGGUCAGGCAGGGUGAAGAUAUAGUCUGCGCCGUCGGUAACGACGGAUAAACGUGCGAUGUCGGCUCGUCGCAUCCUGGGGCUGGAGCAGGUCCCAAGGGUUGGGCUGUUCGCCCAUUAAAGCGGUACGCGAGCUGGGUUCAGAACGUCGUGAGACAGUAAAACCUUGCUGUCUAUAAAUCUGGCUGUUUGCUGGAAACUCCGAGUAUCCCGCGCUACUCCUCGACCUAAGGUCGGCAGUGAAAAUGCGACGGGUGCGGACAAUCAGCAGGGAAGUCCUCUGACGCCUUCGGCGUCAUGACCCCUCAGAGACUGCGCGCCAGACAAAGGCUUGGAAACAAGCCUGGAAGAUACAGUCCGAGCUGCAUGGCGACAUGCAGAGUCAGGCAGAAAUGACCUGGCCCCCGAGCUUCAACGCUCGGGAGUAACAACACUGUCGGUCCCUAUCCACCAUGGGCGCUGGAAGCUUGAGAGGAGUCGCUCCUAGUACGAGAGGACCGGAGCGAACAGACCUCUGGUGUAUCAGUCGUCGUGCCAACGGCGCUGCUGAUUAGCCACGUCUGGAUCGGAUAACCGCUGAAAGCAUCUAAGCGGGAAGCCGACCUCGAGAUGAGGCUUCCCAUCCCCUCGAGGGAGUAAGGGCCGUGGGAGACCACCACGUUGAUAGGCGGGACGUGCAAGCACAGCAAUGUGUUCAGCGGACCCGUACUAAUUGCCCGAGGUCUUGAUUUA
Molecule: ribosomal RNA, 1619 nt
Filed under: Actinomycetes bacterium
Lineage: Bacteria; Bacillati; Actinomycetota; Actinomycetes
Description: Actinobacteria bacterium partial 23S ribosomal RNA
Rfam family: Bacterial large subunit ribosomal RNA
Source: RNAcentral